UACGGGGGGGGCGAGCGUUGUUCGGAAUUACUGGGCGUAAAGGGCGCGUAGGCGGCCCUCUAAGUCGGACGUGAAAUCCCUCGGCUCAACCGGGGAACUGCGUCCGAUACUGGGGGGCUCGAAUUCGGGAGAGGGAUGCGGAAUUCCAGGUGUAGCGGUGAAAUGCGUAGAUAUCUGGAGGAACACCCGUGGCGAAGGCGGCAUCCUGGACCGGUAUUGACGCUGAGGCGCGAAAGCCAGGGGAG
Molecule: ribosomal RNA, 245 nt
Filed under: uncultured bacterium
Lineage: Bacteria
Description: partial 16S ribosomal RNA
Rfam family: Bacterial small subunit ribosomal RNA
Source: RNAcentral